This 442-nucleotide ribosomal RNA is filed under the name uncultured bacterium. Its description in RNAcentral is "partial 16S ribosomal RNA". It matches the Rfam family "Bacterial small subunit ribosomal RNA", at positions 338 to 795 of the family's 1533-position model. The record is from RNAcentral.
CCUACGGGAGGCAGCAGUGGGGAAUAUUGGGCAAUGGGCGAAAGCCUGACCCAGCAACGCCGCGUGAAGGAAGAAGGCUUUCGGGUUGUAAACUUCUUUUGACAGGGAAGAGCAGAAGACGGUACCUGUCGAAUAAGCCACGGCUAACUAAGUUCAAGCAGCCGCGGUAAUACGUAGGUGGCAAGCGUUGUCCGGAUUUACUGGGUGGAAAGGGCGUGUAGCCGGGACGACAAGUCAGAUGUGAAAUCCGGGGGCUCAACCCCCGACCUGCAUUUGAAACUGUUGGUCUUGAGUAUCGGAGAGGCAGGCGGAAUUCCUAGUGUAGCGGUGAAAUGCGUAGAUAUUAGGAGGAACACCAGUGGCGAAGGCGGCCUGCUGGACGACAACUGACGGUGAGGCGCGAAAGCGUGGGGAGCAAACAGGAUUAGAUACCCCUGUAGUC